GAAGUCUGGCUGGCGGAAGUGGAGCGACGGAAGCCACAGUUGCUAUGGAGCUCGCUGAGGACUGGCUCGUGGAGUCUUUGCGAUUGUAAAUUGGCCCGUGGGCGGGUCUGAUGGGCAAUGGGAGAGGGCGCGUGCGGUUGUGGGCUCGUGGGCAGUGCCCAGGCACGGACCGAUGGAGGUCCUGACCCCCGGCCUCUAGCUCUGGGACUCUGGGUCCUUUGUAAGCAAGUAAUGUGACCAGAUCCGCGCAUGUGAGGGCUGAUAAGGCACACAUGGCCGGUUACCCUGGGCCGGAUUCUAGGUUAACUUGAACACAGGUUUCUCCUGAUUGUUCACCUCAACUUGGGGAAAUCAACUUUAUGGGAGUUCCGCAGGUGAGGAACCAAGGCUUGGUUCCUUAUGGCCAGCCCGGUCUCAUACACCAGGGAGGAAAAUGCAGAAGAAAAGAUUCAGCCCCAUGUUUACCUAACUCCAGAGCCUGGUUCCACCAGUCCUUCAGCGAUCUCCCAGUUCUUGGUUAGCUGUGCGUCGCGUGAUUUUUGUAACCCUAUCCUGCAGGUACCAAGACUUCCAUGCAUUUGACCUCUCAGGAGCCACUCGAGUCCUUGAGUGGAUUGGUGAAAAAGGAGUCUUUGUUGCUGGUUAUGAAAGUUUGAAAAAAAAUGAGAUUCUUCAUUUGAUACUACCUCUCAGGCUCUCUGUACAGGAAAACCAGGGUUUACACCCAGAGAGGGACUUCAAAGUACGCCAUGGAGGAUUUUCAGACAGAUCUGUCUUUGACCUAAAGCAUGUGCCAGAUACCAGGUUGCUGGUGACCAGUGGACUUCCAGGGUGUUACAUACAAAUGUGGCAAGUCAGAGAGGACAACGAUGUCAUUGAAGCAGUCAGUACCAUCGAUGUGCAGGACAAAGAGGAGAGUCUCUGGCCUCGGGUGUCUGUCUUCUGCUCUAAGGCACCAGGAAUCCUCCACGGGGCGCGGCUCAGCGGCCUGAGGACUGUGGAUGUAGAAUCCCAGAAGAUCACAUAUAGCUCAGGUACAGCUGACAGUGAGUCCUUGAGCUGCCUUCAGGUCCUAGACGCAAAUACCUUUGCUUUCUGUGGCAACUCAGGUCGGCUGGGGCUUGUGGACACCCGCCAGAAGUGGGCAGCGUUGGAGACUGUCAGCCCCGGCUCUGGCUGUAGUGGAGAGAGAUGGUGUGCAGAAGUCAGGAACAAGGGCCAAGGCCCUGGGCCCUGCAUUGCCAGCCUUGGCUCAGAUGGGCAGCUCUGUCUCCUUGACUCCCGGAAUCUCUGUCAUCCUGUGAGCUCAGCCCAGUGUCCGGUGUUCAAACCCAGCCCUGACCCAGAGCUGCUGCGGGUGACUUGGGCUCCGGGCCUGGACAACUGCUUGGCUAUUUCAGGCUUUGAUGGGACAGUACAAAUCUAUGAUGUCACAUCAUGGGAUGGAAAGAAAACCCAAGCGGAGCCUCUCUUCACUCACAAAGGCCACAUCUUCCUGGAUGGAAAUGACGUAGACUCUGCUCCUCUGGUCACCACCCAUACCUGGCACCCUCGCAAACCCAGAACUUUGUUAUCAGCAGCAAGUGAUUCUUCUCUGCAUGUGUGGGACUGGGUGGACCUCCAGGCCUCCUGAUGACACAGCAGCUGCCCUCAUGGGCCUCUGAGAAGAGGAGUUGUUUGAGAGGCUGACAUGGACUGUGAGUGAACACAGCUCUACCACAGCCGUUGGCUUCAGGCAAGCUAGCCUGCCCUUCUUGUCCCUUUUUCUUACCUGUAAAAUGAAGGUGUAGUAGGUACCACCUAGUGCUGUGGGGAGCAUCACAAGAAAAUUACCUGAGAACAGUUGGUAGGGCGCACGGCAUAACAUGGCUGGAAGCGACCAUUGCCUCUAGGAGCCCUGCGUCUCCAGGUGUAUAGCAGCAGGCUGUGUUCCUGUCUUCACAGCAUCAUGGUGAGAAUCAGGAGAGCUGGAGUGUGAAUGUGGGUGUGAACUUUCUCACAGAAGGAAUCGAUGUCUCAGGGCCAAUAAACAUCAAAAAGAAUACAAGUAAGAAGCAAUUAGCAAUUUACUUAGUUUUUGUACACAAGACUGGACUGGACUGAGCCUACUGUUCUGAGUUAUGCCCCAACUGCUUUCUUUUACUUCUUCCUAUUUUGUGUGUGUGUGUGUGUGUGUGUGUGUGUGUGUGUGUGUGUGUGUGUGUGUUCGUGUUCAUUACUUGCACGAGGGUGCACGUGCUUGGGUGUGCACACUCAUGAGUAUAGGCACCAAGAAGUGCUGGGAAGGUGGAGUCAUCCCGAGGCCUCUGCUUUGCUAAAGGAUGCACCUUGCUUUCCUCGUGCACACGUGACCUCUGCAUGCUGACUGGAGUAAGCUCUGUCUUCCACUCUGGUGGAUAAGGGUCCCUUCCUUAUGACCUUGUUUAGCCUUAGUUCCUAGACCCCUCUCCAAAUCUAGUCUCUCGGGGUAGGGACUUCAGUGUAUGAAUUUGCAAGGGGUACACACUUCUGUCCACAGCACUUAAAAAUAAUGGGGGGAUAAGAAAAGUCUAACAGCUUUUUUUAUAAUAAAUUUUUUUAAGAUGUA
Mus musculus (house mouse) is the source of this 2587-nucleotide RNA transcript. It is a transcript of the gene named WD repeat domain 73, with no coding region annotated. The record is from RefSeq and is marked validated. The transcript is spliced from 7 exons. Lineage: Eukaryota; Metazoa; Chordata; Mammalia; Rodentia; Muridae.